CUGCUAUUAAAGCAAAACAGGAGGAUAUAUACUUUAGCCAUGAAAUUAGCGCAUAAUGUUAUCUAGCCAGUUGAACUUGCAUUGCUUUAGGGAAAUAUUAGCACACGUUUUCCACAAGUGGAUGUAGGCAGGAAAGAUUUAUAUUAGACAUCAGGAAUAAUGUCCUGACUUUCAGAAGAGUUGUGAGAAGCCAAAUAGUUUACCAAAGAAGGCUGUGGAAUUUACCUCCUGGAAAUUUUUAGCAGCAGACAUGAGACCCAUAUGUUUGAGACUAUUUCGGAGUCUUUGAAAUGAAUAGAAUGGUCUUAUUAAGAGUUUCCUAGUCCUUUUCUUUUGUAGCUUGCCUGAGAAGAGGUUAGACAUUCAGUCCACAAAGCCAGGCUUCUCUCCGACCUUCCCCUAUACAUUUCCGAAGACAGAGAAGAGGAAAAAGGAGGUAGAGUCUGGUAUGAGGGCACCAGGGAACAUUUCCUUACUUCACAAUUUGGUGAACUGAGUAGAACUGCCUGACAUCACACAGAGGGUAAACUUCUGCCUAGGGCCAUGGAAAAAGGCAAGAAGGUCCCGUGACCAAGAAAUGACCAGCUCCACAGAGGAAAUGCAGGGCCACUCUCCGACUGGACCCCACUGUGCACAAGCCUGCUCAAUGUGAAGAUGACGAGGAUGAAAACCUUUAUGAUGAUCUACUCCUAUUUAUGGGGAUCUCCCUUCCCUUUUUCAAUGGACUAGCACAGGACCUGCCCACAGAGGCCCUAACUCAGUGCUCUCUGAAUGAAUGGAUGAAUGGGUACAGGGAAUAUCACUGAGGCUCAGAGAGGUAAAAUUAAUUUGGCUGAAGUCAAACUGAACAAUGAGGGCACUGUGGCUCAAACUCACAUCACUGGAAUUCCAAGUAUAUGUACCUGACGUUACAUAAUAUUGUCUCUGUGGAAUGCUUUGAGGAAAGGAACCUAAGAUUUUGGAACUCUGAGACUAUGCUGAAUCUGCUAAAAUUUUGAGAUGCUCUCUGUUCUGGAGGUGACACGGGGUGACAGUGGUGCUCCAUAUUCCUGAAGACACCUGGAAAUAUUGUGGGACGUGCCCUGAGUUGACAUCAGGCAGGUCCUACCUUCCUGAUUGGCCCCUGUUGGUGCUUGAAGAGCCCACUGAAACAACAGACUGAGCAAAGACUUUUAAACGCUGCACGUGGAAUCUACCUCAAAGAAUAUCUAGUUCAAACUGGUCAUUUUGCAGAUGAGAAAACUGAGGUCCAGGACCAUGAAGAGUUAACAGAGGAUUAACACUAAGGCUCUGUCCCCUGAUUUCCAUCCCAGUGGUCUCUUUCCAGCACACAGGCUGUGCCACAGAUUUUAUAGGCAUCUGGAAUUUUGCUGGCAGGGUUACUUCUAAGAAAUCUUUCGGUGGAAUCUCUUUAAGUGGCCCCUGGAAUGUAAGCACUAUGGGCAGUCUGUAGUGACCCAGAGCUCCAAAACAGAGUUUCUAAACAGGCAUGGCAGCAAAUCCCAGCAACAUCAGGCAGAUGCUUUAGACAUUUAAGGAUCUGCAGAUACUGCAGAAUCCCUCAGUUGUGUGGUCAGCACAUUACAACUCACAUAACUGUAAAAUUUUGCUGCAAUAAAAAUUAUUUUUAUAAUAAAAAACAUACUGUUAUAAAAGUAUUACCACUGGUAAUAGCACCUGUUUUGACAUCACUUUAUAAAGACUUUUCCUGUAAUUAUUUCAUCUUGUCUUCACAAAACCUGUGAUGUCGUAUGAGCAUACCUAUUUCCAUAAAAGGAAACUGAGGCUCAAAGGGAUUAAGUGAUUUGUUUAAUGGUACUCAGUUAUUAGGCAGCAGAACAGGAACCUGAAUGCCAACUCCCCUGCUUCUAUACUUUGCUCCUACUAAUCACAAUCCCUCUUGAUAUGAGCUUUAAAAUGACUUUCUUUGCAAGUUUCAUGAGCAUGUUGAUAAACAAAGGUCUCUAGGAAGUCCAAAUGUUUUUUCGCUGACUACCGCCUGGCUUCUAGUUCUCUUUCAAUCUUUUAUUUUUAGUCUCCUUUGCAUUUAAGUUUGAGACAAUAAGAUCCUGAGGAGCUUGACUGUGGCCUGGGCCUGGGGAUACUUCAGGAUUGUGAACUCAGGGAAUCUGAGGCAGGAAUUAAAAGGUACAUGAACACAAAUAGGAACACAUCUUCUCAAGAACUUAGGCUUUUUUUUUUUUUUUGGAUAGGCCUCAG
Molecule: long non-coding RNA, 2220 nt
Filed under: Homo sapiens (human)
Lineage: Eukaryota; Metazoa; Chordata; Mammalia; Primates; Hominidae
Description: HSALNT0043649
Source: RNAcentral